RNAcentral lists this ribosomal RNA (1356 nucleotides) under Xeromyces bisporus. RNAcentral describes it as "LSU rRNA". It matches the Rfam family "Eukaryotic large subunit ribosomal RNA", at positions 40 to 1409 of the family's 3401-position model. Lineage: Eukaryota; Fungi; Ascomycota; Eurotiomycetes; Eurotiales; Aspergillaceae. The record is from RNAcentral.
AUAUCAAUAAGCGGAGGAAAAGAAACCAACCGGGAUUGCCUCAGUAACGGCGAGUGAAGCGGCAAGAGCUCAAAUUUGAAAGCUGGCUCCUCCGGGGUCCGCAUUGUAAUUUGGAGAGGAUGCUUCGGGUGCGGCCCCCGUCUAAGUGCUCUGGAACGGGCCGUCGGAGAGGGUGAGAAUCCCGUCUGGGGCGGGGAGCCCCGUGCCCGUGUGAAGCUCCUUCAACGAGUCGAGUUGUUUGGGAAUGCAGCUCUAAAUGGGUGGUAAAUUUCAUCUAAAGCUAAAUACAGGCCGGAGACCGAUAGCGCACAAGUAGAGUGAUCGAAAGAUGAAAAGCACUUUGAAAAGAGAGUUAAACAGCACGUGAAAUUGUUGAAAGGGAAGCGCUUGCAAUCAGACUCGCCCGCGGGGUUCAGCCGGCAUUCGUGCCGGUGUACUUCCCCGUGGGCGGGCCAGCGUCGGUUCGGACGGCCGGUCAAAGGCCCCCGGAAUGUAGCGCCCCCCGGGGCGUCUUAUAGCCGGGGGUGCCAUGCGGCCAGUCUGGACCGAGGAACGCGCUUCGGCACGGACGCUGGCGUAAUGGUUGCAAGCGACCCGUCUUGAAACACGGACCAAGGAGUCUAACAUCUACGCGAGUGUUUGGGUGGCAAACCCAUGCGCGCAGUGAAAGCGAACGGAGGUGGGAACCCCCCCGGGGGGUGCACCAUCGACCGAUCCUGAUGUCUUCGGAUGGAUUUGAGUAUGAGCGUAGCUGUGGGGACCCGAAAGAUGGUGAACUAUGCCUGAAUAGGGCGAAGCCAGGGGAAACUCUGGUGGAGGCUCGCAGCGGUUCUGACGUGCAAAUCGAUCGUCAAAUUUGGGUAUAGGGGCGAAAGACUAAUCGAACCAUCUGGUAGCUGGUUCCUGCCGAAGUUUCCCUCAGGAUAGCAGUAACGCAAAUUCAGUUUUAUGAGGUAAAGCGAAUGAUUAGAGGCCUUGGGGUUGAAACAACCUUAACCUAUUCUCAAACUUUAAAUAUGUAAGAAGCCCUUGUUGCUUAGUUGAACGUGGGCAUUAGAAUGGAGCGUUACUAGUGGGCCAUUUUUGGUAAGCAGAACUGGCGAUGCGGGAUGAACCGAAAGCGAGGUUAAGGUGCCGGAAUGCACGCUCAUCAGACACCACAAAAGGUGUUAGUUCAUCUAGACAGCCCGACGGUGGCCAUGGAAGUCGGAACCCGCUAAGGAGUGUGUAACAACUCACGGGCCGAAUGAACUAGCCCUGAAAACGGAUGGCGCUCAAGCGUGCUACCUAUACCUUGCCGUCGGGGUAGAAAUGACGCCCCGACGAGUAGGCAGGCGUGGGGGUCCGUGACGAAGC